This 380-nucleotide ribosomal RNA is filed under the name uncultured eukaryote. RNAcentral describes it as "partial 18S ribosomal RNA". It matches the Rfam family "Eukaryotic small subunit ribosomal RNA", at positions 592 to 976 of the family's 1831-position model. The record is from RNAcentral.
CAAUAGCGUAUAUUAAAGUUGUUGCAGUUAAAAAGCUCGUAGUUGGAUUUGUGGCGUACGGUGUGUUCCGGGCACUUGUUGUCUGAGUAACCUGCUGUUGCCAUCCUUGGGUGGAACCUGUGUGGCAUUAGGUUGUCGUGCAGGGGAUGCCCAUCAUUUACUGUGAAAAAAUUAGAGUGUUCAAAGCAGGCUUAUGCCGUUGAAUAUAUUAGCAUGGAAUAAUGAGAUAGGACUUUUUUGCUAUUUUGUUGGUUUGCGCAAGAAGGUAAUGAUUAAUAGGGACAGUUGGGGGUAUUCGUAUUCCAUCGUCAGAGGUGAAAUUCUUGGAUUUUUGGAAGACGAACUACUGCGAAAGCAUUUACCAAGGAUGUUUUCAUUAA